GACGAACGCUGGCGGCGUGCUUAACACAUGCAAGUCGAACGGAAAGGCCCUGCUUGCAGGGUACUCGAGUGGCGAACGGGUGAGUAACACGUUGGUGAUCUGCCCUGCACUUCGGGAUAAGCCUGGGAAACUGGGUCUAAUACCGGAUAGGAGCCAUUUUUAGUGUGAUGGUUGGAAAGUUUUUUCGGUGUAGGAUGAGCUCGCGGCCUAUCAGCUUGUUGGUGGGGUAAUGGCCUACCAAGGCGGCGACGAGUAGCCGGCCUGAGAGGGUGGACGGCCACAUUGGGACUGAGAUACGGACCCGACUCCUACGGGAGGCAGCAGUGGGGAAUAUUGCACUAUGGGCGCAAGCCUGAUGCAGCGACGCCGCGUGGGGGAUGACGGCCUUCGGGUUGUAAACUCCUUGCGCUAGGGACGAAGCAUUUUGUGACGGUACCUAGAGAAGAAGCACCGGCUAACUACGUG
RNAcentral lists this ribosomal RNA (465 nucleotides) under uncultured bacterium. RNAcentral's name for it is "partial 16S ribosomal RNA". It matches the Rfam family "Bacterial small subunit ribosomal RNA", at positions 28 to 507 of the family's 1533-position model. The record is from RNAcentral.